Molecule: ribosomal RNA, 515 nt
Filed under: uncultured bacterium
Lineage: Bacteria
Description: partial 16S ribosomal RNA
Rfam family: Bacterial small subunit ribosomal RNA
Source: RNAcentral
GAUGAACGCUGGCGGCGUGCCUAAUACAUGCAAGUCGAGCGAAUGGAUUAAGAGCUUGCUCUUAUGAAGUUAGCGGCGGACGGGUGAGUAACACGUGGGUAACCUGCCCAUAAGACUGGGAUAACUCCGGGAAACCGGGGCUAAUACCGGAUAACAUUUUGAACCGCAUGGUUCGAAAUUGAAAGUCGGCUUCGGAUGUCACUUAUGGAUGGACCCGCGUCGCAUUAGCUAGUUGGUGAGGUAACGGCUCACCAAGGGAACGAUGCGUAGCCGACCUGAGAGGGUGAUCGGCCACACUGGGACUGAGACACGGCCCAGACUCCUACGGGAGGCAGCAGUAGGGAAUCUUCCGCAAUGGACGAAAGUCUGACGGAGCAACGCCGCGUGAGUGAUGAAGGCUUUCGGGUCGUAAAACUCUGUUGUUAGGGAAGAACAAGUGCUAGUUGAAUAAGCUGGCACCUUGACGGUACCUAACCAGAAAGCCACGGCUAACUACGUGCCAGCAGCCGCCGUAA